UUUUAUUUAGUUUAAGUAAAAUAAUUACUUGUCAAGUAAUUGAUGCUAUUGUUAGCGAUGUGUGAUAC
This 68-nucleotide transfer RNA is filed under the name Camaena poyuensis. RNAcentral's name for it is "tRNA-Asp". The record is from RNAcentral. Lineage: Eukaryota; Metazoa; Mollusca; Gastropoda; Stylommatophora; Camaenidae.